UAACCCUCAGCCGCACCCCCUACCCUGUUUCUCCACUCUCACCCCAAUGGCCACACACACACAGAAUGGGAAAGGAGCUCAGAAAUGGAAAUCAGAGACGCAAGGGGGAAGAUAGUCGCGCCAGCAUGCUGGGCUUUGCCGCCACCAUCCCGUCACCAUCGCCAUCCAGCCUGCCUCGCCACCGCCGCCGUCCCUGUCACUGAGAAGGGAGGGCACCAUCGACGCCGUUUAGGGAGGAAGGAAGACCCGCGCAAGAGUCAGUGGAGGAGGAGCCUCGCGCGUCACCGUCAACUUGAAAGGGGAGGCUGAGUUCCGCGCCGCUGCUGCUUGACGGGUUGAGCCUCGUCGCCGUUGAGGGAGCCACCGCCGCCGAAUCCUAAUCGUCGCUGCUGUCAGGAGGACGAGCCUGGAAGGAGAAGGACGAAGCCCGUUCUCGCACCGUCCUGCUCCGCCACCGCAGCUGCCGUCACGCACCGUCGUGUGCCGUCGCUGCUGUCUGAACGGUCAUCAUUCCCUCUGUUCUGCUGCUCCGGUCUACCGCCGCCACCGCUAGAGAUCCGCCCGAUCUGGUCUGAAGGAAAGAAGGAGGUUCAGGCCAUCGCUGCUACUUGCGUUGUGAGCUGCUUCACCAGCCACCGCCACGGGUGUCGCUGCUGGAGAAGGGAGCUGCGCCCUCAUGCUUCUGGCCACUGAGAGUGGUUUCGUGACUUCCGGGACCCCCGCCAAAGCUCCCGGUUGAGCCUCUACCGCCAGGAACACCUCGGCUGCCACCGAGUUCCGUUGCCGUUACCAACGCUGGAGAACCUCGCUGCCGUCGCCGGAGAACUCUUCCGUUGAUCCACCGGAGAUUCUGGCCGCCGCCGGAGCUGUUGUCGGGGCCGGUUCAAAAAUCGUAGCUGCCUCAUUGUAUUAUUUCGUGUUGCGAUGGUUAUUGCGAAAGUGGCUGGGAGCUGAGGUUUUAGUUGCCGGUGAUUUUGAAUUGAGGUGGAAAGGACUCUGUGAGACGUUUGGGUUUUGGAAUUGCGUUUUGAGGAUUUGGGCGCAGAAGUUAUGAAGAGUUUAAUUAUUUGUUAUUGAGAUGCUCUGUAUUGCUUUAUAUUAUUAUUUUUGUACCCUCGCCUUUAUCUUGAUAUAUUCUGUGAGAGGGAUAGGAAUUGUACUGGAUAAUGUUUGUAAUAUUAUUUAUAUAUAUGUAUGUAUAUAUAUAUGGAUGUACUCUUUAUGAGUUUCUGUAAGUUGUAUGGUAUGUAUGGGCGUACGUUGUAUGGCGAAAGUAUUUUUUGGGAAUGGUAUUGCGGUUUAAAGUUUUUAAACA
This is a long non-coding RNA of Arachis duranensis, 1315 nucleotides long. RefSeq lists it as uncharacterized. The transcript has 4 exons. Lineage: Eukaryota; Viridiplantae; Streptophyta; Magnoliopsida; Fabales; Fabaceae. The record is from RefSeq and is a predicted model, not a curated record.